This 10548-nucleotide long non-coding RNA is filed under the name Hordeum vulgare. RNAcentral's name for it is "long non-coding RNA (HVUL_LNC005111)". Lineage: Eukaryota; Viridiplantae; Streptophyta; Magnoliopsida; Poales; Poaceae. The record is from RNAcentral.
AGUACCAAUGUUGGGCCUUGUCAGACCAGCUUUAAUCUAAAACUAAUUAUCAAUGGGGUCCCCAUAACAACCCCGAUCGUGUUAGGAGCGCUCAAUUAUGGAACAUAACACCGGUUGCCGAAACUAAGGGGGCAAAGGUGGAACAAAACACGAGGCUAGAAAGGCCAAGCCUUCCACCUUUUACCAAUUAUAUAGGUGCAUUAAAUUAAAUAGCAUUUAAUAUGGUGAUAUAACAAGGAACCUAUGUUAUCACAUGGAAGCAACUGCACCUGCAACUAGCAACGCUAACACAUGGUUACGCAAGCGAUAACAUAGCCAAUCAGUGGUUUGCUAGGUUGUGAACAGGUUGACGGUUUCAUGGCAAUGUUGAGAGGCUGAUAUUUAAUAGGUGGUAGGCAACGAGACAUAACGACAAAGACGAUAAUACUAGCAUGGCAAUGAUAGUAAUGGUAUCUAGGAAAAUGGCCAUCUUGCCUGAGAUCCCGCUUGGAAGAAGAAUGACUCCGUGAAGCAGACGAACCGAUGUAGUCGAACUGGUCCUCACUUUCCGACACGCUUGCGGAACUCUAUCGGGACGAAGGAAACCAGAAACAAGCAUCAACACAGAUAUUCACCACGCGAUGCACAACACAUAUGAUGCAUGAACGGUUGAAUACAUGCGGAACAUGGCAUGGCAAUUCACACAAUCAAACACUACACAUUAAGUGAAGUUCAAUAUGCAAUGAGUUGCAUAUUGACGAAACCCCACAUACGGAUUAUUUAAUUCUAUCCCGGUUAGGUACACGGCAAUGUUAAUUGUUGGUUAAACAUGGCAAGAGGUUAAGCGUAAUUAAACUACCUAUCUAGACAUUUUAAAUGAGGUCGGAAAUGACAUAUAGCACCUCUGAAACGACCUCACAUGUUAAUUUAUAAUUCUGUCUAGAUCUGAACUAAAGCGUUUAAAUGUUUGUUAAAAACCAAAAUAAAUAGGUUCACGUGAUUCUACGCGUCAUUACAAUCAAUUUACACAUAGAGAACAUCUCCAACGGAGCUACGGUUCAAAAGAUACGAACACCGGAAGAUAUGAUGGCAUGAAUGCAAAAAUGUGUGCAUCGACAGUCACGAGCAUUUCAAAACACACAACCAGCAAGGUAAUAUGAAACUACACGAGAUUCUAAGCAAGUUUCAUAUAGGACACGAUCAAAACGGAGCAACGGUUCAACAACUACGAGCUAAAUAAGAAAUCACUACAAUCUGCCAAAAUCAGCUACAUAACAUUUUCUACACCCCACAACUACGAGCUACACAAAUCCAAAAUGCUCAACCAAGGCAUGAGGCGGUAGAGGGCAAUAUGCACUACAACAUACUACCAAUAACACCCUGCAUGGAAGCAUGGAUCACUAGGAAAAGAAGUCACAAAAUGACAUCUCACACACUGUUUCAGACUUGGUGAAAACCAUAGUUUAUGAAAGUGCAGUUUUCGAUCUGAAGGCAUAUUGACAACAGCAAAACCAUAAGCUACAUGACUCCAAAUGGCAUGAAAAUUCACAGCAUGCUAUAGAAUCCUAAAGUCUACAACUAACUCCAUGGCACCAACCUCAAAAGAGGUACAGAUCACCAGAUAAACUCAUGCAAAGACAGCAACAAAAUAUAACAGAUUUUAGACUUAGAAAUAUUUCAGCAUCUACAAAACAACACUAUUUUCUAGCAUGUUGAGAGCAAGCAAACCACAACUAAACAUGGAUUUCUAUUGCAACCAAAAUUACCAGAGGCUAGCCUACACAUCCAAGGCAUAUCUCUAGUUGACAACUCCUUCAUAUCAAGCACGGAUUAAAUCACACAAAAUAAACAAACGGGAAUCACGGCAAAAUAUCACGCGCACUAACUUGAUCGAAAGCUAAAACUAAAUGCACAGUUAAAUUUUAUGGAUUUUUCUAACCCAAAAACGUAUAUAACAUGAGGGGUUGCAAAACAAAAAUAAUGCCACACGAAUAUGCGAAAAUAUGUUCUACACACGAUAUAUGAAACUAGCUACAGAAUCCUACAUGCAAAAAUACAAACCACUACUCUAAAGUACAUGGCAAAAUGUCCCUAAAAAACAUGAGCAUUUUAUCUAUGGGAUUCGAGCAAUCCGGACAUGCACUGAAAUAUAUACGGGACAAUUCCCUAUUUGGACAGCACGCAAAACUAGGCAUACGACAGGCCAAACUAUUUCAAACAUGCAUGCAAGUUCCAAAAUAUUAAUCUACACGGAAAACUACACGAUUUACAUAUAUGACUCGCCCCGAUCCGACAUACAGUUUAAUAACUACGGUCAUUUUAAUAUAUACCAAUUUUUCUGAAAAUCCUAAUUCACAAGGAAAAACCUAAAAAAAUCUACGGGCUGAAUUGGCCAAGGCCUAACCAGAGCUCUGGGCGCACAAUGCCUAAACUACGCACAGGUGGGACUUAGCGGGGCGGUGCUCACCUGAGGGGCCAUGGCCCAUGAGAGGAGGCAGCAGGCCUGGGCCUUCGGGCAAGGCAGGGAGGCGGACCACGGGGGGGGGGGGACCUGGCCUGGCGCGGACUGGGCUAGACGAGGCGCUGGGGAGGCCGGCUGGCGUCAGCCUAGGCCGGGGUGAGCCGAGGCCCACACGGGCGAUGCGGGCGGGCGAAGCGGCUGGAUCGUCGUGGCCCUCCCGUGCUCCUCACGGCAGGAGCCAUGGCGGCGGCGGCAGCAGCACAGACCUGACGAAGGGGCUCCGGUGAUGGGAUCGAGGGGGCGGCGACGGAUCUGGACGGAUCCGGGCAUGGGAGCCCCAUUCCCGGCGGCGGCGGCGAGCUUUGGGCGGAGGACGGCACGGGGAGAGGCGAGGCACGACGGUGGCUGAGCAAGGGCGGCGAGGUUCGGCUUGCCGGCAGUGAGCGUGGCGGCGCACGAAGUGCGGUGGCGACCUGGAGGAGCUGCUCGGCUGCGGUCACCUCAGGCACGCGGGCAACAGCUCGAGGAGGAGCUGGGGAGGCAGGGACCUGCGGGAGGCGCCCUGGGCCGUUGGAUCGAGUGGCUUGGGCUGGAUCAGAUCUGGUGGCUCAGGAGGUGGGUGGAGGCUGGCUGGGGCGCGGAUUACGAGGCAGAUCUAGGGUUUGCAUGAAAAACGAGGGAGAGAGAGUGGUUGUCCAAAAAUGACAUGGGGUCCUAUUUAUAACAAUGGGGGGCUAGGUUUAGCAGUUUUUCGGCCUGGUUUCAACCGCACGAUUGGAAUCAAACGGUUUUGCACGUGGGACGGGCUAAGUGACCGUGUAGAGUAGGUUAGCCGGAGAUAAGAGGGACAAUGGGCACCCGGCAACGUAUUUUUAAACACCGAUAAAACGCCCGACGAUAGACCAAAUAAGCUGCUACGGUCGACCGUUCGGGUACGAGACGGACUUUGAUUGCGACGAAAUUUGACACGCGGCCUACCUAUUAUAAAACACGACCGCACACCAAGUUUCAACCCAAUCAGAGAAAGUUUUAUACACGCUUUUGAAAACAAGAUUUAACGGGCGCGUCCGAGUAUGGUCGGGCUCAGAACGGACAACGUCGAGAACCAGCAACUAAUAAUGGAUGCAACUUUUGAAAACUAGCGGCAACGGGAUGCCGAUGCAAUGCAGAUGAUGCGCAUGAUGCGAUGAUGAUGCGACAAAUAAAAACAACCACAUGACGAAAACGGAAUAAAGAGGGAAUCUUCUAGAAUGUUGGUCUCGGGCUGUCACAACUUAGUACCCUAGAUAUUGUUCUUCGUGGAUGCUUUGGCGUCCUAGAAGCUUGGUGGUGUCUCGGAGCUCAAUCAUUGUGGUGUAAAGCUCUGGGCAAGCGUCGGGGUCUCCAAUUAGGUUGUGGAGAUUGCCCCGAGCAAUUUAUACGGGUACCCGUGACCGCCCCCAAGGUUUGCCAUUUGUACGGGUUCGGUGACCGCCCUCAAGGGUCCUUUAGUGGAAUCACGAUAUCUUGCAUUGUGCGAGGGCGCGAGGAGAUUACGAUGGCCUUAAUGGCAUCUUGGGGAGCAUUGUGCCUCCACACCACUCCAACGGAGAUUAGCAUCUGCAAGGGUGUGAACUUCGGGAUACAUCAUCGUCUCCGCGUGCCUCAAUUAUCUCUUACCCGAACCCUUUACUUUGUGAUAGCCAUAUUGUUUUUUGUCAUAUAUCUUGCUAUCACUUAGUUGUUUAUCUUGCUUAGCAUAAGUUGUUGGUGCACAUAGGCGAGCCUAGUUGUUUUAGGUUUUGUGCUUGACAUAUUAAACGUUAGUUUUAUUCCGCAUUUGUUCAAGCCUAAACCGUAAUUAUUUUAAAGCGCCUAUUCACCCCCCCUCCUUUAGGCGACAUCCACGUCCUUUCAACACCUUCUCGCAAUUGAAUGUGCAUGACACCACGGUUGGGAAAUCGUUCUACUAGUGUUGCCAGUAGUUGACAUCUCCUGGGGCAACCAUGAUGGUGGCAUGAGGAGUUGGUUCAUGACAGAUUCUUCUUCGUCGCCUGCAUGUCAUGUCCCUUGGUUUGUCGUUGCGUCUUCUUCUUACAUAGAGGCAUUGCUCUGGUAGAUGCUUGAUUGGGUGGCAAGUAAGAGAUUUAUUGCUAAUCAACAAGUUAAUCAAUCAUUUAAUCAAUUAAUCAAGCUAUUUAUCGGUUUAUCGUCUACUCGAUGACCAUACGAGUAGGAAUUAAUCGGCAAGUUAUAAUCGUAUGAAUUCUUCAAUAGGGUAUAGAGGUGAAGUCAGAGCUACACGUCAAGAGGCGGCUCGUUGGCAACAAUAGCCUCCAAAGGUAGGUUCGGUGUUUAGCAAUAUUGAGUGACCACAUCUAGCGAUGUCGGUGCAAGAUAUUUUUAUUUCGCAUGUGAGGCUCGUCGCGAAGUAGGGGAUGCCUACUCAUCAAUGCCUCCGACCGAUUAUUUGUCAUAAGCCAACAAGGACUCAUGCAUCUUUCACGGUAAAGCCUCUUCAUUGGUCGUCUCUCAUAUAGCAAAAAGGCUAAACGUAUAAAGAGUUACGUAUGGUUAUGAUUCUUUCUUUCUUACUAACAUUUUCCCUCCUGAUUUUUGAGGGGAUGGGGUUCUCAUCCUCCUUAAUCUCCAAUUAAAAUUCACCUGCGUGUAAAAUCCAUGUAAACCUAUCUAUGUGUAGUGUUACUGUUAGUCUCAUUUGCUGGGAGAGGCGUCGAACAUGACCAUUGCUGGAAACCUCGACACGAUUAUUCUCUUCAAUGAUGUGUGGGGGUCUUUGUGCUCUAGAGUGUCUAGCUUUUGUUGGCAUGAUGUGCUAAUUUUUGCUCGAGUCUUUGUUCAUUAACGAGGUGAUUUUCUUUUAAAUUAAGAGAAAUACUUGAGUUCAUCCGACGGAUGUAUCUGUUUGCGUCAUCCAUCUUUAUAAUCAUCGGAUCUGUUAUUGAUUAGACGAUCGAAAGGCAACCUCCGCCACUUCAUUUUCUUGCAACUUGACUUGUGCUUGAGAAGCGUUUUCGCAACCCGAUCCUUAUAGCAGACCGUGUAGUCGCCGAGCUCAUUAGAAACAGCAUUCCUGUUGCUAGAAAGAUUUCUAUAAUAUCAAUGGUUUUGCAAAACUUUCUUCCGUAGUAGGUGAAGGUAAAAAAUAAUUCAGCAACAUUAACUUUGUUGCAAAACAACUUUUGCAACAAUACCUGUGUUACAAAAAAUCUGCAACAUGAAAUCUAUUGCAAACAUCUAAGUGCAACAUUAUUCUUGUUACAAGCCGGCAGUUAAAUAUGACAACCAUCCACAUUUAAUACAAUGGCUCGCUAGACGGCAAAUCUUUUAAAAAAAUCAAUCGACCGACGGGUAGCGUUUUUCUUAAAUUAGUGAAUAGAACCGAAAUUUUGUGAGAAGCUGAAAAAUAAAAACACUAUGCCACGGUUUACCUAAAAAUGGCAACUUUACUUAAUGUUGGAUAGAAAAGUUGACCAGUAGGCUAGCAUGAGGCCAAAUAUCAUGGAACAUCACUUGUACCAGAGAUUUGGCGACCUCGCGAUUAACGGUUACUUACGAUAAACUUUGAGGUUGGCCAAUGUACAACCACCCAGGGAAUUGCAUGAACCACCAACUAUUGGUGCUGAUUUUGCACAAAACACUUACUCUACAAGUUUAUUGCACAUAUAACAGCACAUAUAGCUGUAAUCCAUUGUGGUUCGGUCUAAUCCAACGUUUGAACAAGUUCAUGUGAUUUUAGGAUUGGCCCCGCUUUUAUGGGCACCCGUGGGCAAAAGAAAACAGCCACCACAGCCGACCAACUAAAACUAUCAAUGUCUGCCAAACAUUUGAGGUUCAACUAAGCUUAAGGACUCCUUUGAUACAAAGAAAUUUCAUUGGAUUUUUGGAGGAUUUGGAUCCUUAGGAUUUUUUCCUACGAUGGUCGUUUGAUUCGUAGGAUUGAAAUCCUUUGAAAUUUUUACAUAGGAUUCGUUUGUACUACAUUUUGAAGGAAAAUUUCCAUCCAUUCAAACCUCUUUGCAGAAUUCCUUUGUUUUUCCUGUGCUAUCAAACACACUUUCAAAUCCUGUAGUGUAGAAAAGGACAUGCCACUCUAUUCCUACGUUUUUCCUAUUCCUACAUUUUGACAAUCCUACGAAUCAAACAGGCCCAAUUUUUCUUGAUUAGUACUGAGUACACGAAGGAUUUAGUGAAAUAUUUGUGCACAUUUGUAGAAAUGUAAGAUUUCGAACGAGCGAACAGAAGUUGUCAAUAUCUUCCAGACCUCUAGUUCAGAUGAGUUGAGAUAUUCCUAGGUUAGUGCUGGCCACAUUAAUGGUCAACUAGAUUUUUUUAAAUGUUGAAUUUAAAACCAAAAUUUGAAUGAGACAACUAAAACUGUCAACACCUACCAAGCCAUUGGUCCAAAUAAGUUACCUUUUUCAAGAAUAGUACUCGAUACAUGUGUGAUUUACUGAAUUUCUCUCGUGUUUUUCUGGAAACGUUGAUUUUUUUGAGUAAAAAUAUAAAUGGACCGUGUUUUGAGUAAAAUAAAAAUGGAUCACAUCCAUACGCCGAUUGGGAGUCCUUACUUUGAUCUGUUGGGUGAUGUGACCGAUUUUCAUUGCCACGUGUGAAACAAUGUGAAAAUUGCAAUGGGUUAAAACAAUGUGACGUUUUGCACAACGACCCGUAGGGUAGGUGCUCUGUACAAAAUCAACACCGAUAGUUGAUGGUAUGUGCAAUUCCCUCCGCCAAACGCAGCAUGAAAAUUACCUCCUCGGAUAGAAAUAAACAGUGCCAAACCAAAGCCCCGCCGUAUCAAAACAGUUGAAUAUAAGCAGCGAGUUAGAAAAAAACAGUAGCAUACGAGAAGCUGGUGCGUGAUAAUGCAGAUUCGGAUUCCACGUCCACCCACGCACUGAGUCACGGAGCGAAGCUUGCAGGCAACUUCCGGGCUAGCAGACGCCGCCGCCCGCCUUUGUUCCUGGCCACUACUUGCUUCCGGUCCGUGUCAUCGAGUCGACACGCGAGAGGAACCGAGCCACCGGCGGGCCGUGUGAGCCGAGCACUCGAUCCCCGGCCCAGCCACGCAACCCCCCUCAUUCCCGGUCCAACUCCAACGUAUGUGGAGAAGACGGGGUACGCGACAGGAGUUCACCUCGAUGCAUCUAUCCACGCUACACGCGUCCGGCCGGGACGGGUUUGUGGAGGCUAGACGGAGGAGAGGAGGCUCCACGUUUGUCGGCAACAAAGCGGUGGCUGCAGAACAAAUCCAUCCGCGUCGGUCAAUGCGUUUUGGAAUUUGAUGCGGUUGCAAGGAGGCUGUGGAAUCCCUCUCUCCCUCUCUCUGCGGUUGGGAGGAGAUAUGGAUCAGUGGCUGGCUGGACGGCGUGGCGACGCGCUCGGAACAUAUUCCGCGGCUCUCUUAUUACGGAGGCAGCAGCAUAUCAUGGCGGCCAAGCAACGCAUCGGCCAACUCCUGGUGGGAUCACAUCAUCAGGAUGCGAAUUCCCCGGUGAAAACAGCGACAUCACGCAGCGGAGACAAAACAUCAGCCGCGUACGUUUCUGCCAAAGAAAAAUGAGGGGAGAAGAAAGGGAGCUUUCUUUGGCAUGGUGAAAAAAAGACUGCCGCAUAUGCGAUUGGGAGAUGCCUCCCUCCCCGCUCGGUGCUCAAUACUACAAGAUGGCAAGCCUUUUUUGUGCACUUUUUUAAAGCAAGAAAGGGGCCGGCGAGAAACGAGACGGCUGCUUGUAAAAUAUUGAUUUGCUUUCAACGGUGAGAGUCGGCGUAAAGGAAAUGGCGGCAUAUCGGCAAAGCCUAAUGGAAUCGUCAAGGCGUUUAUGCACGUCGUGAUCACGUGAGAUAUGGGUCCCCGAACGAUUUGGCGGGAUCGUACUAGGUGAAAGUCGGGCGGGCGGCCGAUCAAAUAAAUAAAAAACGAACGAAAUCGCCGUUCGUUCGUUUAAGUCAGAUGCACGGACGAUCAAUUCAAACAAACAAAAAACGAACGAAAUCACUGAUGGUUUGGGUCGGAGUUGGUCUGCUACACGACGUGAUCGUUUCGUGAUCAAACGAUCAGUGCCCGACAAAUCGUUCGGGGAGCCGUCGCUCUCGCACAUAUCUCCGGCUCGGGUCACGCCAUCAUCCAUCAAUCCUUGUGGAUCUUAACAGAUUGGAUACGUAAAACAACUUGGUUGCUCUUCACUUUUAGCGCCAAGAUUGGAUGCGCACAAGCACACGCACUUCCCUUCUCCAAAGGGCAGUUCGUUCGCGGGUAGUAAAAAGUUUCUCAGGUGAUUGGCGAAAGGUAGUAAGGCCACGUGCAAGUAACAGUGCGCCAGCUGCUUUGCCUACAUCCAACUCACCGAGCCGCCAUCCUUCAAUGAAUUAUUCAGGCAUCGAACCGCCGUCUUGAAUUAUUGGAGCGGUUGCACGAAUCAGAAACGCAGAAGAUAAGCAUCAAAUAGGACCCGUCAAACAAAAGAAUCAAUUCGUGCAUGUAUCCCACGCGCAGUUUGUUUACUCCUGCUUGUACGAUGUGAUAAUAACAGGACUAAGCAAAACUUGCAUCUAUUAGGAGUAGUAACAAGAAUUACAGAAUUAAAAUAUGAUUUGAGCAGAAAGGAAUGCAGUAGGACAAGCUCGUCUUAGAUAAAAAAAAUGCUUAUUUAUAAGUUGUGACAGAUUUUCUCCAAACAGUACGCUCAUUGUGGCAGACGCAGCAAACCACCUAGAGCUAAUAGUUUAUUCAGAGUAGCAAUAGCCUGGCCGGCUGCUUCACAGUAACCAAAACGACAAACGGAAGUCAGAACGAAUUCCACAGACGGAACAGCGACAGCAAAAAUCAUCUUAUCACUCGCACAGCACCGCGCCCUCCUCCAGAGAAUCCUCCUCCGCCCGCCAUGCGAGCAGGUUGGCAAGCUUGCCUUCCUUGACCAGAGGGUGGCCGCUCUCCACAUUCUCGCCCUCGAAGCAGUGGAAGACGGACCUGGGCGACCCGGCGGAGACAGCAACCUCUUCAUUCGCGGUAAAGCUCUGGUAGAUGAGGACGCCCCCGCAGGGGAGCUCCUGCUCCACGAUGUUGUUGCAGUCGUAUGCCUCGGCGUCGAGCUUCUUGCCCCAGGUGGCGGCGUGGCCGCGGCCACCGAAGAUGGUGACCGCCACAGAGAACUCUGAAGGGCCGAAGCACCGGAGAACCCUCUUGACGAUGUCGCCGUAGACCAGGGCGGAGGCGUCCAUGCCCUGGACCUCAUAGCUCGCGUAGCUGAAGCCGUCCUCGGGGGUCACAUGGAUGGUGGAGAAGGCAGAUCCGUUGAUGGCGUUCAUGGAGUAGCCGCAGGGCUCGAAGUCGAAGUCGCACACCUCCAUCUCAGGGAUGAUGUUGGAGAUACCAGAGAGCUUGGUCAUCUCCUUGGCACAGGAGACGUGGCCAUCAGCAGAAGUCUUGAAGAAGACAGAGGCCUUCUUCUUGUCAAGCCCAGUCAUGCACAUCUCCAGGGUGACCAUGGGCUGCUCGGGUUGCUCAGUGGCAUAGUAGAUGUGCCACUUCUGGCCAGGCUUCGCUGGGUCGCCAAUCACAUAGGCAUUGCCACCAGACUUCAGGUGGCCGAAGUAGCGGUUCAGGACAUCAACCUCCUCAGAGAAGCUCCUGUGGGGAGCAGGCUGUGCGCCGGGGAAGAUGAACAUCCCACGGGAGUACUUCACGGCAGCAAGCGGCAUGCACAGCUCCUCAGCUAGCUCAAGAAUCCUUGGAAUGGUGAGCAGAAGCAUGGUAGUCCCACAGGUCUUGAUCACAAUCUUCUGAGAGUAGAUAAACAGGCUCGACUCAGAUAGCACAUACGAGUCAAAGUCCUUGUUGGAGAGCUCGGACACAAUGGUGCACCGUGCAAGAUCAAGAACAGAGUCAAUCUGGGCCCUAGAGAGGGCGCGCAGGCCACGACCAUGAGGGUCAGCAAAGAUUGAUGCCUCGUUGAAGGUGAUCUCGAGGCGCUUCUCGUAGCCCUCAAACCCGAUCGCAGAGGUCGGGGCGGCCAUUGUUGCAGUUUGAGUCAGAAAGCAGAGCAGAGAGGAACAGAGGGAGAGAGACUAGAGAACUGGUCGAUUAUCGUGAAGCAGCAAGCCAG